UCUGUCUCUCAAAAAUAAAUAAAUGUUAAAAAAAAUUUUUUAAAUAGUCCAUAAAUAAAAUAAAAAAAAAAUAGUCCAUAACAAGAAAGAAAAGUUGGGGGGUGAAAGGUGAAACAAGAUGGGGAACACACGGAUUAUGACUCAAAUCAUAGGAGGUUUUCACACGCUUCUAUUUUUGCAUGUGUGUGAAGUUUUUCUAUAAUAAAAAGGGAAGUAAUAACACAUCAUGUAUCUGGUUUCGGGGGUGGGGGGGGACAACAGUGGGGGAUCCUGGGCAGAAGCGGGCCAGACGUGACUGCCAGAGUCCAGGCUAAAAGCCGUCAACAUGGCCAAAACUGGAUGCUGACAACACCAAGUGUUGACAGGACAGUGGAGGGACUAGAACUCUCUCAUCCGCCGCUGCUGGGUGUAAAACAGUUUGCCACAGGCCUUCGGUCUCAUGAAGUCGUGCGCUUCACACCCAGCCCAGCGACCCCACUCCUGGACGUUUCCCCGAGAGGAAGAACACAUAACGUCUGCGCAAAGACAGAUCUGUUGGCAAACGUUGGCGGCGGCUUCGCUGUGAUCUCCAAACCGCUGGAAACACCCCAAACGUCCACCAGCAGGGGGGCACAGAUGAACAAGCCGGGGUCCGUUCACCCCGCGGCCUGCCGGGCAGCAGUGAAGGAGGCAAAUCUGACCAUGGAAGGUGAUGCCAACCCCGGUGUGAAGGCGGCGGUGUGAGCAGUGGGAUUCCGAUUUCAGCUCUGAGGCAGAGUCCACAGGCCGUGCAGGGGCCCCUUGCAAGCCCCUGGUCGCCCCCAGUGGAGUGGACAUCCUACACCCGCGCGGGACAACGGAUACGACGAAGCCACAGAUAAGGGCACAUGGGUAACUUAAAAUUCCCCAGCAUCCACGUUUUCAAAAGUGGAAAAUAAAUAGAUGCAAUUAAUUGUAA
Molecule: long non-coding RNA, 937 nt
Organism: Herpailurus yagouaroundi (jaguarundi)
Lineage: Eukaryota; Metazoa; Chordata; Mammalia; Carnivora; Felidae
Exons: 3
Source: RefSeq, a predicted model, not a curated record